CUGGGGUUAGAGGAAGAGCCCUGGAAAUGAAAGUGAUUAAAGGUGGUUGUAGCAGCAGAUAGGAAGGAAGUGAAGGUAGCAAGUAGGAAUUGGAAGAUCAUUCAGAUGUUUUGCGGAUCAUUCAGAUGUUUUGUACCACCUGGUACCCAGAAGCUGUCACUCUCCACCUGGUAACCUCCAAGACCAUCACAAAGGAGAUGAUCCUGUUGUGCAGCCACAGAAACUCAUCACCAAUCAGGGCGAGCCCUUCGUCUUCAGGCUAAAGAAGGACCUCUGUCGGCUACUCUAGGUGCAACACCUGCGCACCUCCGUCUACCUCCUCCAGAUUGUAGAAUUCAAACAGACCCUGAAGAGGAUGCUGCGGCAGGUUAUAGCAGAGAUCAGCCGCACGUGGGACCUAAUAAUCCUGAAUGUGCUGUUUUCGGAGUGUGAAAUCCCCCAGACCCCCACCGGUUUCUUUCUUCUGUAAAGACAUCUUAAUGAAAGUGGCAUUGUAGAGCUUCAGUGGAAAGAUACUUAUUAUUGACCUACAAGUGAAGAUGGAUAACGAUCAGCAUGCCCCAAACAAUAGUGGUUUACUAUUGUCCAGUACUAUUGCACAAGUGGAUUUUCGAAGUAUGUAACCGUCUAUGCUUUUUGAGGAAAUAUUGCCCACAACCACUUGUGCAAUGAAAGAGGAGAGCUUUGUGACAAUUCUCCCGACUUUGAGAGUUUUCAAAAGAACAUUCAUUCUUGAAAGCUGGAAUUCUUGGAGCUUGUUGGGUCAAAGCAAUUGUGGGAGUGAAUACAGCACAGGCUCCAUUCACUGCUGUGGGCUUUAUCGGGAUGUGACAGCCAACGAUGGAUGGGACUGCAUGAAAGACAGUUGAGCAUGCCAGUCUGGCAAACCCUGUGCCCACCUACUCUACUUCCUCACACUCUGGGAGACAAACAACUUUUUUAACAGCCCUACUGACCAUGUGCACAAACGUGUGUAAUGUGGACCUAGGCAAGCAGCCAACACUUGAUAGGAUGCAGUAUGAACCAAGAAGUACAGGAACACAAGGACCUCCACCUCCUUGUACCACCCAUGCCGCGGUCACUUCCACUAUGGAUGCCUUAGUCAGUGGCAGGUCAGAACAGAGAUCAAUGUGUCCAUCAAAGCCUCAGGAUGGGUACAGUUGGGUUGAUGUGGCAGUGGGAGGUGGGGUUGCCAGGCUAGAAAACACAUAAAUAACAAGCUCCAGUCCAGUCAUGCAAGAGUUCUCUCUCUCCUUUUCCAUAUAAAAUAUUUAAUUUGAAUAUAUAAUACUAAGUAAAUACUGCUUUACACUAACUAAAUACUUCAGUCAAGAAUAUUAAUGAUCAGAUGAGAAUGUUUAAUUGUAUUCACUGUUUUAAUCUGCAAAACAUAGUGGAGUCCACACAACUUAAGGCAACGACACUUAAGCCAAGAACAGGCAAUGGCAACGUAAUAAAUGCAUACAGGGUUUAGAUUACUUACAGCAUUAUGGAGAGAAUCAUCAGUAGAGCCCUCCAGACCAUGGACCAGAAACUGACAGCUCUUCAACAAUGUGCAGCUUCAGUUUUUGCCAAAAUGGUAGGCAUUUGAUGUUUGACGAUUUAGCUCAAUGUUGGCUAGCUAAAUAUUCAAACUUGGCUGGGUUUUAAUAUGUAUCAAACUGAUCUAAUGUAUCUCCCAAUACUGGCUAAUUAAUUACUUAACAGUACAUACUUCAAGAUCACUGCAGUACGUAGUAUUCUGAAUGCAAAUGAAGGCAGGCCUAUGGGAGUUUGGUAUGUGUGUCACCAUUGAAACCACCAUUUUUACACCAGUAAAACAGCAUAGAUGACCAUUUAGAGAUGAAAUGUAUC
Long non-coding RNA from Esox lucius (northern pike), 1854 nucleotides. Lineage: Eukaryota; Metazoa; Chordata; Actinopteri; Esociformes; Esocidae. The record is from Ensembl.